GAAACUUUAUGGGACUGGCCCUUAUAUGACUUUUAAUCAGAGGGUCGAUGGUUCGAAUCCAUCCGGGCUCACCA
This 74-nucleotide transfer RNA is filed under the name Pseudomonadota bacterium. RNAcentral's name for it is "Proteobacteria bacterium tRNA-Lys". Lineage: Bacteria; Pseudomonadati; Pseudomonadota. The record is from RNAcentral.